GAUGAACGCUGGCGGCGUGCCUAAUACAUGCAAGUCGAGCGAACGGACGAGAAGCUUGCUUCUCUGAUGUUAGCGGCGGACGGGUGAGUAACACGUGGAUAACCUACCUAUAAGACUGGGAUAACUUCGGGAAACCGGAGCUAAUACCGGAUGAUAUUUUGAACCGCAUGGUUCAAAAGUGAAAGACGGUCUUGCUGUCACUUAUAGAUGGAUCCGCGCUGCAUUAGCUAGUUGGUAAGGUAACGGCUUACCAAGGCAACGAUGCAUAGCCGACCUGAGAGGGUGAUCGGCCACACUGGAACGGAGACACGGUCAAGACGACUACGGGAGGCAGCAGUAGGGAAUCUUACGCAAUGGGCGAAAGCAUGACGGAGCAACGCCGCGUGAGUGAUGAAGGUCUUCGGAUCGUAAAACUCUGUUAUUAGGGAAGAACAUAUGUGUAAGUAACUGUGCACAGCUUGACGGUACCUAAUCAGAAAGCCACGGCUAACUACGUG
RNAcentral lists this ribosomal RNA (497 nucleotides) under uncultured bacterium. Its description in RNAcentral is "partial 16S ribosomal RNA". It matches the Rfam family "Bacterial small subunit ribosomal RNA", at positions 28 to 507 of the family's 1533-position model. The record is from RNAcentral.